AUUGAACGCUGGCGGCGUGCUUAACACAUGCAAGUCGAGCGGUAAGGCCCUUUCGGGGGUACACGAGCGGCGAACGGGUGAGUAACACGUGGGUGACCUGCCCUCAGCUCUGGGAUAAGCCUGGGAAACCGGGUCUAAUACUGGAUAUGACUCCAUGACGCAUGUUGUGGGGUGAAAAGCCUUGUGCGGCUGAGGAUGGGCCCGCGGCCUAUCAGCUUGUUGGUGGGGUGAUGGCCUACCAAGGCGACGACGGGUAGCCGGCCUGAGAGGGCGACCGGCCACACUGGGACUGAGACACGGCCCAGACUCCUACGGGAGGCAGCAGUGGGGAAUCUUGCGCAAUGGGCGAAAGCCUGACGCAGCGACGCCGCGUGAGGGAUGACGGCCU
This 388-nucleotide ribosomal RNA is filed under the name uncultured bacterium. RNAcentral's name for it is "bacterial SSU rRNA". It matches the Rfam family "Bacterial small subunit ribosomal RNA", at positions 28 to 417 of the family's 1533-position model. The record is from RNAcentral.